CAGUCGCCACGGUAAUACGGAGGGUGCAAGCGUUAAUCGGAAUUACUGGGCGUAAAGCGCACGCAGGCGGUCUGACAACUCAGAUGUGAAAUCCCCGGGCUUAACCUGGGAACUGCAUUUGAAACUGUCAGGCUGGAGUCUUGUAGAGGGGGGUGGAAUUCCAGGUGUAGCGGUGAAAUGCGUAGAGAUCUGGAGGAAUACCGGUGGCGAAGGCGGCCCCCUGGACAAAGACUGACGCUCAGGUGCGAAAGCGUGGGGAGCAAACAGGAUUAGAUACCCCUGUAGUCCCUGUCUCUUAUAC
RNAcentral lists this ribosomal RNA (301 nucleotides) under uncultured bacterium. RNAcentral describes it as "partial 16S ribosomal RNA". It matches the Rfam family "Bacterial small subunit ribosomal RNA", at positions 509 to 807 of the family's 1533-position model. The record is from RNAcentral.